AAGUCGUAACAAGGUUUCCGUAGGUGAACCUGCGGAAGGAUCAUUAUUGAACAAUCAAACCAAUGUGGAUUAGUUGUAGCUGGUCUCUCGGGGCAUGUGCACGCUUUUCUGCAAUUGUUCUCCAUCCACCUGUGAACAUUUUGUAGAUUUGCGAGGGAUAGAAAGAAGGGUAACCUUCUGACGAAGACUCGCGGUCUAUGUUUUAUAAACACUAAUGAAAGUCUAAGAAUGUCUUGUUAUAUUCAAACAUAAAUAUAA
This 258-nucleotide unclassified non-coding RNA is filed under the name plant metagenome. RNAcentral describes it as "partial contains small subunit ribosomal RNA and internal transcribed spacer 1". The stretch from base 1 to 46 matches the Rfam family "Eukaryotic small subunit ribosomal RNA", at positions 1786 to 1831 of the family's 1831-position model. The record is from RNAcentral.